GCAUAUCAAUAAGCGGAGGAAAAGAAAAUAACAAUGAUUCCUCUAGUAACUGCGAGUGAAGAGGGAAAAGCUCAAAUUUUAAAUCUGUUAGGUUUACCUAACCGAGUUGUAAUUUGAAGAAGCGUUUUCUGCGAAUUUGGUUAGUCCAAAUCCUUUGGAAUAAGGUAUCAUGGAGGGUGAGAAUCCCGUUCGGUUAACCAAAGCGCUUUACGAUACGCUUUCAAAGAGUCAAGUUGUUUGGGAUUGCAGCUUAAAAUGGGAGGUAAAUUUCUCCUAAGGCUAAAUAUUGGCGAGAGACCGAUAGCGAACAAGUACCGUGAGGGAAAGAUGAAAAGAACUUUGAAAAGAGAGUUAAACAGUACGUGAAAUUGUUGAAAGGGAAACGAUUAAAGUCAGUCGUACCUACGAGUAAUCAACCUACUCGAGUGCGAUUUUGUGGGUAUGUUAGAGCUUAAAAACCUUCAUGCUUACAAAUUGGUGCUCUUUGGGCGUACUUUCUCGUAUGGUAGGUUAACAUCAAUUUCGAUCGUUAUAAAAUGACUGGAGGAAUGUAGCUUCGAUCUCGGUUGAAGUGUUAUAGCCUUUGGUAGAUGUAAUGAUUGGGAUUGAGGAUUGCAACGGAUACCCUCUGGGCUAUUCGUCUGAUCUCUGGAACGUUACCUUGGUGUCG
RNAcentral lists this ribosomal RNA (670 nucleotides) under Rhizophagus cf. intraradices HG-2010. RNAcentral's name for it is "eukaryotic LSU rRNA". It matches the Rfam family "Eukaryotic large subunit ribosomal RNA", at positions 38 to 634 of the family's 3401-position model. Lineage: Eukaryota; Fungi; Glomeromycota; Glomeromycetes; Glomerales; Glomeraceae. The record is from RNAcentral.